GACAGAGGGUGCAAACGUUGUUCGGAAUUACUGGGCGUAAAGCGCGUGUAGGCUGCUCGGAAAGUCGGAUGUGAAAGCCCUGGGCUCAACCUAGGAAGUGCAUUCGAAACUUCCGAGCUGGAGUGCUGGAGAGGAAGGCGGAAUUCUCGGUGUAGAGGUGAAAUUCGUAGAUAUCGAGAGGAACACCGGUGGCGAAGGCGGCCUUCUGGACCGGCAUUGACGCUGAGGAGCGAAAGCCAGGGGAGCAAACGGG
This 253-nucleotide ribosomal RNA is filed under the name uncultured bacterium. RNAcentral's name for it is "partial 16S ribosomal RNA". It matches the Rfam family "Bacterial small subunit ribosomal RNA", at positions 524 to 776 of the family's 1533-position model. The record is from RNAcentral.